AACAAGCGCUGGCGGCGUGCCUAAUACAUGCAAGUCGAACGGGGAAAGCUUUCGGGUGAGUACUAGUGGCGCACGGGUGAGUAACGCGUGGAUAAUCUGCCCUCGAAUGGGGAAUAACUAGUCGAAAGAUUAGCUAAUACCGCAUAAGAUCACGACUACUGAGGUAGUUGGGGUCAAAGGAGCAAUUCGUUUGAGGAUGAGUCCGCGUAAGAUUAGCUAGUUGGUGAGGUAAUGGCUCACCAAGGCGAUGAUCUUUAACUGGUCUGAGAGGAUGAUCAGUCACACUGGAACUGAGACACGGUCCAGACUCCUACGGGAGGCAGCAGUAGGGAAUAUUGGACAAUGGGGGCAACCCUGAUCCAGCGACGCCGCGUGAGCGAUGAAGGCCUUCGGGUCGUAAAGCUCUGUUGUAAGGGAAAAAGUUCUGAUUGUACCUUACGAGAAAGGAUCGGCUAACUUCGUGCCAGCCGCCGCAGUAA
RNAcentral lists this ribosomal RNA (479 nucleotides) under uncultured bacterium. RNAcentral's name for it is "partial 16S ribosomal RNA". It matches the Rfam family "Bacterial small subunit ribosomal RNA", at positions 29 to 523 of the family's 1533-position model. The record is from RNAcentral.